This is a long non-coding RNA of Oncorhynchus keta (chum salmon), 315 nucleotides long. RefSeq lists it as uncharacterized. The record is from RefSeq and is a predicted model, not a curated record. The transcript is spliced from 3 exons. NCBI's taxonomy places the organism in Eukaryota, Metazoa, Chordata, Actinopteri, Salmoniformes, Salmonidae.
UCCCUCUGUUCCUCUUUUUGCGGAAGCAACUUUUUCUACCUCCUUCUCGUCUACAGAAGUGUCUGUUCUCUCUCCGUCACUCUGUCGGUAGCUUUCGCGUCGACUGGCCAGAGUCCGCGAGCUGUUCUCUCCAGUCAUCUCUCCUUCCGUAUCAUCCCUCCAUCUCAGGGAACUACAGAGGCCUCUCAUUGGCUCAUCUCACUUCCUGUUUCUGCAUUGUCCCGAUUUGGUUAUGUCUUACCACAGCUUCUUGCUCGAGCCAAUCAGCUGCCACUCCUGGAACAAGGACCGGACCCAGAUUGAUCUGAUGAUAUA